UAUGCAGGACUUGGACCAGGAACUACGAGAGAUGAACCCAGAGUGGGGUCUACCGGACAUGGACGUUCUGAGACAGCUGGCAUUUGGGAACGGGAUGCGUAUGGAGAGGAUGAUAGAGAUGGAGCAGUACAAUAAAUGUCAAAGUUUCCUGAAGACCAGACAUGGAAGCAGGGCUUCUUCUGCAUCUGAACAAACAUCCCAAUGACCCAUAUUUGAAUAUCUAUUUCUGUAAAUAAAGUAUGUUAUACAUUUUAUUUUGCAUGUGCCCUUUCAUUUUCAGCUCGACAAUGGCAACUAACCUGGUCCCAGAUCUGUUUCUGCUGUAUAGCCAACU
This is a long non-coding RNA of Coregonus clupeaformis (lake whitefish), 334 nucleotides long. RefSeq lists it as uncharacterized. The transcript is spliced from 3 exons. The record is from RefSeq and is a predicted model, not a curated record. Lineage: Eukaryota; Metazoa; Chordata; Actinopteri; Salmoniformes; Salmonidae.